GGCGAACGGGUGAGUAACACGUGAGUAACCUGCCCUUGACUUUGGGAUAACUUCAGGAAACUGGGGCUAAUACCGGAUAGGAGCUCCUGCUGCAUGGUGGGGGUUGGAAAGUUUCGGCGGUUGGGGAUGGACUCGCGGCUUAUCAGCUUGUUGGUGGGGUAGUGGCUUACCAAGGCUUUGACGGGUAGCCAGCCUGAGAGGGUGACCGGCCACAUUGGGACUGAGAUACGGCCCAG
RNAcentral lists this ribosomal RNA (236 nucleotides) under uncultured Actinomycetales bacterium. RNAcentral's name for it is "partial 16S ribosomal RNA". It matches the Rfam family "Bacterial small subunit ribosomal RNA", at positions 97 to 334 of the family's 1533-position model. Lineage: Bacteria; Bacillati; Actinomycetota; Actinomycetes; Actinomycetales. The record is from RNAcentral.